RNAcentral lists this ribosomal RNA (417 nucleotides) under uncultured microorganism. RNAcentral's name for it is "bacterial SSU rRNA". It matches the Rfam family "Bacterial small subunit ribosomal RNA", at positions 9 to 416 of the family's 1533-position model. The record is from RNAcentral.
GAGUUUGAUCGUGGCUCAGGACGAACGCUGGCGGCGUGCCUAAUACAUGCAAGUCGAGCGGAUCUUCAUUAGCUUGCUUUUGAAGAUCAGCGGCGGACGGGUGAGUAACACGUGGGCAACCUGCCUGUAAGACUGGGAUAACUUCGGGAAACCGGAGCUAAUACCGGAUAAUCCUUUUCCUCUCAUGAGGAAAAGCUGAAAGACGGUUUCGGCUAUCACUUACAGAUGGGCCCGCGGCGCAUUAGCUAGUUGGUGAGGUAACGGCUCACCAAGGCGACGAUGCGUAGCCGACCUGAGAGGGUGAUCGGCCACACUGGGACUGAGACACGGCCCAGACUCCUACGGGAGGCAGCAGUAGGGAAUCUUCCGCAAUGGACGAAAGUCUGACGGAGCAACGCCGCGUGAGCGAUGAAGGCC